UCGCGGUCAUGGAUGUGCACACGAAUGUCUAGCACGCACAGGACGGUCCCGGGACUUGAACCUAGAACCUUCUUCGAAUCGCACCCCCCGGCGGGGAAGGAGGAUGGUCCUGUUUGCAGAUAAAUUCCCAGACCUAGAAGAAUGCCUGGCACGUGCUAGUCCUCAGCAAGAAUGGAGUGACUUUCAGUUUGCAUUAUUGGCCCGAGUUAUCCACUCAUAUCCUCGCCGUGUGACCAGGCAGCUCCCCUGGACAGUACCACGUGGCUUGCUUUGCCCAAGAGCAUGCAGGGAAGGAGGAGAGCACUCACUCUCUCAACUAGCCGGCAGACGCACGCGGGAGUCAGCCAAGAUGAGCACAGCUGUCCCAGCUGAGCCCAGCCACCGCACAGCUGUGUGAAGGACAGGGCUGCGGUUUUGAAGACAGUAAGAACUGGGAUGGGUUGCUAGGCUGUGUUAUUGUGAAAACUGCUCCUUGCUACCACCUCAGUCUGCUGGUUACCUGGUUUCUUUCCAGGUCUGGCCCUCGAAGGCAUUAUGUACCCUCACUGUUGUUCCCAAGCCAGGGUUGGCAAACUGUCUGAAAGGCCCAGACAGUAAAUAUUCUAAGCUUUGUG
Long non-coding RNA from Tupaia belangeri chinensis (Chinese tree shrew), 614 nucleotides. RefSeq lists it as uncharacterized. The transcript has 3 exons. NCBI's taxonomy places the organism in Eukaryota, Metazoa, Chordata, Mammalia, Scandentia, Tupaiidae. The record is from RefSeq and is a predicted model, not a curated record.